Molecule: ribosomal RNA, 156 nt
Filed under: Donadinia helvelloides
Lineage: Eukaryota; Fungi; Ascomycota; Pezizomycetes; Pezizales; Sarcosomataceae
Description: 5.8S ribosomal RNA
Rfam family: 5.8S ribosomal RNA
About the family: 5.8S ribosomal RNA (5.8S rRNA) is a component of the large subunit of the eukaryotic ribosome.
Source: RNAcentral
AAACUUUCAACAACGGAUCUCUUGGUUCUCGCAUCGAUGAAGAACGCAGCGAAAUGCGAUAAGUAGUGUGAAUUGCAGAAUUCAGUGAAUCAUCGAAUCUUUGAACGCACAUUGCGCCUCCUGGUACUCCGGGAGGCAUGCCUGUCCGAGCGUCAU